AUUGCUUCUCGGCCUUUUGGCUAAGAUCAAGUGCAGUAUCUGUUCUUAUCAGUUUAAAUGUGUAGCUGAACUCUAUUUGCUAGGAUUUUAUUGAUUUUGCAUUUUGUAGUAUUCUUUUUUAGCUGAAUCCAUUCCUGGUUUUGGCAGAACACUUAUGUACUAUUGGUGGGAUUGCAAAGUAAAAC
Molecule: small nuclear RNA, 185 nt
Organism: Nycticebus coucang (slow loris)
Lineage: Eukaryota; Metazoa; Chordata; Mammalia; Primates; Lorisidae
Product: U2 spliceosomal RNA
Exons: 1
Source: RefSeq, a predicted model, not a curated record